UCUCGUGCUGGGUUUACUUGCUCCGUUUGUGGCAGGGGAAGAGUUGCUUUCGGCAUUCAGAGAUGACUUGUGUCUGGGAGAAGUAGCAGGCCUCCUGCAGCCUGUGGACUUUUUGAAAGAAGCUUGAAGAAGUAGCACGGGCCGUUCUGGAGAGCAAAGGCCACGUGGGGAUUUGGCAACUGUCCAUGAGCACACCUCUGAUCCAAACACCCCAGGGGACCACGAAUCCUGCGCUUCCCAGACAUUUCAGGGGUGACGUUGGUACUCAGACUUGGCUGCUUUCAGAGCAUGACACCGUGUCAAGAAGGGGUGAAAACACUCCCCUGGCUGGGGAGCUGAUUUACCCACAGUGCACCUUCACAAUGGAGGAAAUGGCCCUGCAGAAUCCUGGGGCUGCUGUUGCCCAAAGACAGCUUUGGCCAGAGGGCAGCUGCUAUGUUUGGCUUCAGGCUGAUCUAGAAGGAAGAUUGUUCUGGACGGGAUGUCACAAAUGACUGCUGAUAUGUCAUGUGAAAUGGCCACCUGUGUGUAGCCACAGGCUCCUCACUGCUCAGUGCUUGCUGCAGCCACACCAUGGGACCUAAUCUACAGUUGGCUGGUGGAAAAAGUGCUUCCCUGCUUUCUUCUGUUCCAGAAUAAAAUAAGUUGUGGAAAA
Long non-coding RNA from Vidua chalybeata, 655 nucleotides. RefSeq lists it as uncharacterized. The transcript is spliced from 6 exons. The record is from RefSeq and is a predicted model, not a curated record. Lineage: Eukaryota; Metazoa; Chordata; Aves; Passeriformes; Viduidae.